RNAcentral lists this ribosomal RNA (496 nucleotides) under uncultured bacterium. RNAcentral's name for it is "partial 16S ribosomal RNA". It matches the Rfam family "Bacterial small subunit ribosomal RNA", at positions 29 to 507 of the family's 1533-position model. The record is from RNAcentral.
AUGAACGCUGGCGGCGUGCCUAAUACAUGCAAGUCGCGCGAACGGACGAGAAGCUUGCUUCUCUGAUGUUAGCGGCGGACGGGUGAGUAACACGUGGAUAACCUACCUAUAAGACUGGGAUAACUUCGGGAAACCGGAGCUAAUACCGGAUGAUAUUUUGAACCGCAUGGUUCAAAAGUGAAAGACGGUCUUGCUGUCACUUAUAGAUGGAUCCGCGCUGCAUUAGCUAGUUGGUAAGGUAACGGCUUACCAAGGCAACGAUGCAUAGCCGACCUGAGAGGGUGAUCGGCCACACUGGAACUGAGACACGGUCCAGACUCCUACGGGAGGCAGUAGUAGGGAAUCUUCCGCAAUGGGCGAAAGCCUGACGGAGCAACGCCGCGUGAGUGAUGAAGGUCUUCGGAUCGUAAAACUCUGUUAUUAGGGAAGAACAUAUGUGUAAGUAACUGUGCACAUCUUGACGGUACCUAAUCAGAAAGCCACGGCUAACUACGUG